UCCGUAGGCGGGCUAAUAAGUCAGGGGUGAAAUCCCACAGCUCAACUGUGGAACUGCCUUUGAUACUGGUUGUCUUGAGUUAUAGUGAAGUAGAUAGAAUAUGUAGUGUAGCGGUGAAAUGCAUAGAUAUUACAUAGAAUACCGAUUGCGAAGGCAGUCUACUAACUGUAUACUGACGCUAAUGGACGAAAGCGUGGGGAGCGAACAGGAUUAGAUACCCUGGUAGUCC
RNAcentral lists this ribosomal RNA (229 nucleotides) under uncultured bacterium. Its description in RNAcentral is "partial 16S ribosomal RNA". It matches the Rfam family "Bacterial small subunit ribosomal RNA", at positions 568 to 796 of the family's 1533-position model. The record is from RNAcentral.